AAGACCUUGCGCUUUUGGAGCGGCCGAUGCCUGAUUAGCUAGUUGGUGGGGUAAUGGCCUACCAAAGCUUCGAUCAGUAGCUGGUCUGAGAGGACGGCCAGCCACACUGGGACUGAGACACGGCCCAGACUCCUACGGGAGGCAGCAGUGGGGAAUUUUGGACAAUGGGCGCAAGCCUGAUCCAGCCAUGCCGCGUGAGUGAAGAAGGCCUUCGGGUUGUAAAGCUCUUUCAGCCGGGAAGAAAAGGUUGCGAUUAAUAAUCGCAAUUUAUGACGGUACCGGAAGAAGAAGCACCGGCUAACUACGUGCCAGCAGCCGCGGUAAUACGUAGGGUGCGAGCGUUAAUCGGAAUUACUGGGCGUAAAGGGUGCGCAGGCGGUUUUGUAAGUCAGAUGUGAAMUCCCCGGGCUUAACCUGGGAACU
This 423-nucleotide ribosomal RNA is filed under the name uncultured bacterium. RNAcentral's name for it is "bacterial SSU rRNA". It matches the Rfam family "Bacterial small subunit ribosomal RNA", at positions 207 to 622 of the family's 1533-position model. The record is from RNAcentral.